Camelus ferus (Wild Bactrian camel) is the source of this 73-nucleotide transfer RNA. It matches the Rfam family "tRNA". From Rfam's summary of the family: Transfer RNA (tRNA) molecules are approximately 80 nucleotides in length. Their secondary structure includes four short double-helical elements and three loops (D, anti-codon, and T loops). Further hydrogen bonds mediate the characteristic L-shaped molecular structure. tRNAs have two regions of fundamental functional importance: the anti-codon, which is responsible for specific mRNA codon recognition, and the 3' end, to which the tRNAs corresponding amino acid is attached (by aminoacyl-tRNA synthetases). tRNAs cope with the degeneracy of the genetic code in two manners: having more than one tRNA (with a specific anti-codon) for a particular amino acid; and 'wobble' base-pairing, i.e. permitting non-standard base-pairing at the 3rd anti-codon position. The record is from Rfam. NCBI's taxonomy places the organism in Eukaryota, Metazoa, Chordata, Mammalia, Artiodactyla, Camelidae.
GAGGAUAUAGCUCAAGUGAUAGAGUGCAUGCUUAGCAUGCAUGAGGUCCUGGGUUCAAUCCCCAGUAUCUCCU